GGCUUAGAAGCAGCCACUCAUUAAAAGAGUGCGUAAUAGCUCACUGGUCGAGUGAUUCUGCGCCGAAAAUUUAACGGGGCUAAAUUGUACACCGAAGCUUGGGAUACAUCUAAUGUAUGGUAGGAGAGCGUUGUAUACGGGGUGAAGUCAGAGCGGAAGCGCUGGUGGACUGUAUACAAGUGAGAAUGCCGGAAUGAGUAGCGAGAAUUAUGUGAGAAUCAUAAUGGCCGAAAGACUAAGGUUUUAGAAGGAAGGUUCGUCCGCUUCUAGUUAGCCGGGAGCUAAGGCGAGGCCGAGAGGCGUAGUCGAUGCACAUACGGUUGAGAUUCCGUAGCUACCUUGCAUUUAAGCGAAGGGACACAUUUGAAGGGCAUGACCCGGGCGUUGGUUGACCCGGGCGUAAGGGACCGAAAAUAAGUAGGGAAGCAUGCUUGGAUGGUGGCGAGAAAAGCUUCGUGUAUAUAAGCAGGGUACCCGUACUGCAAACCGACACAGGUAGUCAGGAAGAGGAUUCUAAGGCCAUCGGGAGAAGCGUUGUUAAGGAACUCGGCAAAUUGACCCCGUAACUUCGGAAUAAGGGGUGCUCACGCGAGUGAGCCGCAGUGAAUAGGUCCAGGCAACUGUUUAUCAAAAACACAGCUCUCUGCUAAAUCGUAAGAUGACGUAUAGGGGGUGACACCUGCCCGGUGCUGGAAGGUUAAGAGGAGGGGUGCAAGCUCCGAAUUGAAGCCCCAGUAAACGGCGGCCGUAACUAUAACGGUCCUAAGGUAGCGAAAUUCCUUGUCGGGUAAGUUCCGACCCGCACGAAUGGUGUAACGAUCUGGGCACUGUCUCAACUACCCACCCGGCGAAAUUGUAGUACCGGUGAAGAUGCCGGUUACCCGCGGCAAGACGGAAAGACCCCAUGGAGCUUUACUGUAACCUGAUAUUGGGUUUCGGUAUUUUAUGUACAGGAUAGGUGGGAGACUAUGAAACUAAGGCGCCAGCCUUAGCGGAGUCGCCCUUGGGAUACCACUCUUAAAGUACUGAAAUUCUAACCUGCGGCCGUGAAUCCGGUCGGGGGACAUUGUCAGGCGGGCAGUUUGACUGGGGCGGUCGCCUCCAAAAGAGUAACGGAGGCGCUCAAAGGUUCGCUCAGCAUGGUCGGAAACCAUGCCUUAGAGUGUAAACGCAAAAGCGAGCCUAACUGCGAGGCUGACGGGCCGAGCAGUAACGAAAGUUGGAGUUAGUGAUCCGGCGGUAUGUGAAUGGAAAUGC
This 1257-nucleotide ribosomal RNA is filed under the name human gut metagenome. RNAcentral's name for it is "bacterial LSU rRNA". It matches the Rfam family "Bacterial large subunit ribosomal RNA", at positions 1103 to 2442 of the family's 2925-position model. The record is from RNAcentral.